CCUACGGGUGGCAGCAGUGAGGAAUAUUGGUCAAUGGGCGGGAGCCUGAACCAGCCAAGUCGCGUGAGGGAUGACGGCCCUAUGGGUUGUAAACCUCUUUUGCCGGGGAGCAAAGUGCCGCACGUGUGCGGUUUGGAGAGUACCCGGAGAAAAAGCAUCGGCUAACUCCGUGCCAGCAGCCGCGGUAAUACGGAGGAUGCGAGCGUUAUCCGGAUUUAUUGGGUGUAAAGGGAGCGUAGACGGCAGCGCAAGUCUGAAGUGAAAUGCCGGGGCUUAACCCCGGAACUGCUUUGGAAACUGUGCAGCUAGAGUGCAGGAGAGGUAAGUGGAAUUCCUAGUGUAGCGGUGAAAUGCGUAGAUAUUAGGAGGAACACCAGUGGCGAAGGCGGCUUACUGGACUGUAACUGACGUUGAGGCUCGAAAGCGUGGGGAGCAAACAGGAUUAGAUACCCUUGUAGUC
This 460-nucleotide ribosomal RNA is filed under the name uncultured bacterium. RNAcentral's name for it is "partial 16S ribosomal RNA". It matches the Rfam family "Bacterial small subunit ribosomal RNA", at positions 338 to 795 of the family's 1533-position model. The record is from RNAcentral.